UACGAGGGGGGCGAGCGUUGUUCGGAAUUAUUGGGCGUAAAGGGUGCGUAGGCGGUUCCGCAAGUCCUGUGUGAAAUCUUCGGGCUCAACUCGAAGUCUGCACGGGAAACUGCGGGGCUUGAGUGUGGGAGAGGUGAGUGGAAUUCCCGGUGUAGCGGUGAAAUGCGUGAGAUAUUGGGAAGAACGACCGGUGGCGAAGGCGGCGACCUGGUCCUUGACUGACGCUGAGGCGCGAAAGCGUGGGGGAGCAAACAGG
Molecule: ribosomal RNA, 256 nt
Filed under: uncultured bacterium
Lineage: Bacteria
Description: partial 16S ribosomal RNA
Rfam family: Bacterial small subunit ribosomal RNA
Source: RNAcentral